RNAcentral lists this small nuclear RNA (107 nucleotides) under Phascolarctos cinereus (koala). Lineage: Eukaryota; Metazoa; Chordata; Mammalia; Diprotodontia; Phascolarctidae. The record is from RNAcentral.
UUGCUCACUUCAGCAGCAUAUAUCCUAAAACUGGAACAAUAUGGAGAAGAUUAGCGUGGCCCCUGCACAAGGAUGACGCACAAAUUCAUGAAGUGUUCCAUAUUUUU